This 374-nucleotide ribosomal RNA is filed under the name uncultured bacterium. RNAcentral's name for it is "partial 16S ribosomal RNA". It matches the Rfam family "Bacterial small subunit ribosomal RNA", at positions 338 to 709 of the family's 1533-position model. The record is from RNAcentral.
CCUACGGGAGGCAGCAGUGAGGAAUAUUGGUCAAUGGCCGUAAGGCUGAACCAGCCAAGUAGCGUGAGGGAUGACUGCCCUAUGGUUUGUAAACCUCUUUUAUGCGGGGAUAAAGGUGGCCACGUGUGGAUGUUUGCAGGUACCGCAUGAAUCAGGACCGGCUAAUUCCGUGCCAGCAGCCGGGGUUCUACGGAAGGUCUGGGCGUUAACCGGAUUUAUUGGGUUUAAAGGGAGCGUAGGCCGGUCUUUAAGGUUGCCGGUGAAUGGUUUGGGUCAACCAUGAGAGUGCUGCGGGAACUGGAGACCUUGAGUGCGGGGAAGGCAGGUGGAAUUCGUGGUGUAGCGGUGAAAUGCGUAGAUAUUACGAAGAACCC